AACGCACCUUGCGCUCCUUGGUAUUCCGAGGAGCAUGCCUGUUUGAGUGUCAUUAAAUUCUCAACUAUACCAGUUUCUGAAACUCGUAUAGCUUGGAUCUUGGGAUUUGCGGGCUUUUCACAAAGUCGGCUAUCCUUAAAUGCAUUAGCAGAGCUUUUGCCGCUAACCCCUGGUGUGAUAAUUAUCUACGCCAUCGAGUUGCGACAUAUCGAGGCUUAGCUUCUAAUCGUCCGCAAGGACAAUUUUUGACAAUCUGACCUCAAAUCAGGUAGGACUACCCGCUGAACUUAA
RNAcentral lists this unclassified non-coding RNA (291 nucleotides) under uncultured fungus. RNAcentral describes it as "partial contains 5.8S ribosomal RNA, internal transcribed spacer 2, and large subunit ribosomal RNA". The stretch from base 1 to 52 matches the Rfam family "5.8S ribosomal RNA", at positions 103 to 154 of the family's 154-position model. Lineage: Eukaryota; Fungi. The record is from RNAcentral.